AAACGACUCUCGGCAACGGAUAUCUCGGCUCUCGCAUCGAUGAAGAACGUAGCAAACUGCGAUACUUGGUGUGAAUUGCAGAAUCCCGUGAACCAUCGAGUCUUUGAACGCAAGUUGCGCCCGAAGCCACUAGGCCGAGGGCACGUCUGCCUGGGCGUCACGC
Molecule: ribosomal RNA, 163 nt
Filed under: Strychnos arborea
Lineage: Eukaryota; Viridiplantae; Streptophyta; Magnoliopsida; Gentianales; Loganiaceae
Description: 5.8S ribosomal RNA
Rfam family: 5.8S ribosomal RNA
About the family: 5.8S ribosomal RNA (5.8S rRNA) is a component of the large subunit of the eukaryotic ribosome. It is transcribed by RNA polymerase I as part of the 45S precursor that also contains 18S and 28S rRNA. Functionally, it is thought that 5.8S rRNA may be involved in ribosome translocation.
Source: RNAcentral